This is a long non-coding RNA of Gambusia affinis (western mosquitofish), 4721 nucleotides long. RefSeq lists it as uncharacterized. Lineage: Eukaryota; Metazoa; Chordata; Actinopteri; Cyprinodontiformes; Poeciliidae. The transcript is spliced from 2 exons. The record is from RefSeq and is a predicted model, not a curated record.
CUAACGUUCUCUGAUUGGUAGAACUACGACUUGAAAUAUAAAUGAAGAAUAAACUAUGACUAUGCGGACAUAGAGGAUUGUGGUAAUGCUGUAUUGUCAAAUUACUAGCUGACUACAUACAAAAUAAUUUGAAUAAAUAAAUGAAUGUAUAAAUAAAUUAGUGACUUGAUAAAUUAAAUAAGAUUGCAUCAAAAAACCUGACACAUAUGGUUGGAAUCUGUCCUGAGAAACACCACACAUGAGUAAAAUUGGAUUUGGCUUCGAGUGCACUAGGCUUAUAUAAUGUCAAAUUAUCCCCAAAUUUGAUGAAAUGACUGAGGUCAGAAUUUAUAGGUUUUUGCUAAAUUUUUAAGAUUUGCUGUAAAUGAAUAACAUUGCGCCUGGAAUUACCCUUUUUGGUUAAUGGGGAACGAAUAACCUUCUGUGACACUGGUGCGACAUUAAUGUCGGAAUAUUUCCGCCAGGCCCUGUUUUGAAUAGAUGUUCCUUCCUAUGUCGCUGCCAUGCUGAGUACAUAGGUUGAAAUGCUGUGAUUAUAUAAGAUGGGGGUUGCAUUUGUUCCGUGAUUAGCAGAUUUCUCAGGUUGAGGAGAGAGAGGUGGAGAAGUAGAAUGAUGAUUUUUUGGACAAUUACUGAGGCUUCGGUUGGACUCCUGCUGCAGUGACGCAUCCUGGGUUAAAAGGGUGCAACUCCAUGUUGGCAGCCUACUCUUCCAGCGUGGGGUGAGGAAAGAAGGAGAGCGUCUGUUUGAUAGGGGUGCGAGGCUUGCGAAGCAGAGACGGGUGUUUUUAUGUAAAAGCUAACUAAUUAACUCCUGUUUGCUUCUUUCUUUUUCCUCUGUCUGAGACUCGCUGCGGUGCGUCUGACCCCUGACCUCAACUCAAACCAGUCUUGCCAUGGCCGACAUGGUCCCUCCUCGUCACUAGCUGAUGACAGCACUCAAGGAGACAGAGAAGAGUUCUAUCACCUUCAGUCACUGAUGCGCUGCUGGUCUUACAGUUCCGAUGCCUGUGAACUGUGAUUCAGAAAAUUCCUGCAUGGUGUCCUGCUGGACAUUGGACUGAAACUAGAUUCCUGUUUGGGUGCAAUUGACCUCGUACGACCUCCGCUGACCAACCCCCUGACAUCAGCGUGGAGACGGACAAUGAUGUGCUUCUAAGAUGAAGACAACGAACUGGACUGUUUGAUGCUGUCUAACUGUUUGGACAUUGCAGAGCCAGUUACAUGUGACUGCGGAGAGUUCAGAGAAAGGGGGGAGGAUUGCACCUCAGUGACGCCAGACCCAGGGGGAGGACGGAGAAGUGGGACAGAGAGGUGUCGUUUGCAGAUAAGUGUUUUAAACUUGUAUCCUGUCCUGUUUUCUGCUUUGGCCAACCUGGACCCGAAGCGCUUGUCCCAUGUGGGCCGGCUUCUGUUCUUCCUCAUGUCACUCUGUUUUAUUACCAGGGCCGGGCUGAAUGGUUGCAUUUGUGUGACAAAAGGGGGUGUUGCUGCUGUAGUAUUCUGACACAUAUGCAGCAUACUGUGUUUGGCUGUGGACUCUGCGAUUACGGUGCAUGUUCAACCUCCUAGACAUGGUGGCAGGGAGGUGUCUGAUCAUCUUCCCAAUUCUGUUUGGAUGUUUCUUUAACACAACCGAUUGUUAAUCUGGUUUUGUCUCAGAAACAGGGGGGUGAGAGGAGAAUUCUCUAAUAUGCGAGCACAAUACUAGAUCCUAUGGAGAAGAGACAAAUAGCUCAGCAGGAAAUAACAGGCAGCUGUAAUGCAAAUCAUUCUCUCCCCCAUCACCUAAAGUAGCUCCUGACAAAAUAUCAGAAUAUAUGUCACAAUCUUAGUAGUGAAACAACAAGAGGCACCCCAGGAAGAUUUAUAAGUUGAAAUUGAAAUUAGAUGAAACUAAAACACAUGUUGUAUGAUACGUGCAAGAACCUGAUGAAGUAGCAGAGGAAUUGGGAGUUUUUCUCUUGGAAUCCUAAUUAGCUUUCUUUCCUGCCAUAAAAGUUCCUUCUACAAGGUGAGGAAAAUUCAUGAAGGAGGUGUCAAGUAGUUUUAUGGCCCAUCUGACUCUAGAGAUAAGGAGAGUUGCUUGAAGUUUUGGUGUCUUCAAUUCGGAGAAUUCUUUAGAGUGAAUUAUUAAAAAAGUUAAUAUAAAGUGAAUAAUGACAUAAUAUGGAAUAUAUUAAAUGUAGAUUUUUCAGCAUCGAAAUGCUGAGUUUGAUUGGUAAACAGGCUUUGACAAACAUUAAUUAAAUUUUCUAGGAAAAGCUGGUAAAAGAAAAUAUAUUUCUUAAAAUAUUUUACAUAAAUACAAAUAAUACUUUGGUGGUGUGGUCUUUCUAAGGGCAUUUUCUGGCUAAAUAUUCAAAUUCAGGUUUUAAUGUUUUGAUAAAUUAUUUACGGUUGCUCAGAUUACCCUGAAGGUUGGGAAAGUUAAAGAUGAGUAGAACUAUGGAGUAACUGUUUAGACGUUAAAGAGUUCCAAGGGAGCUAAUACAUGAUGAAAUUUUACUUAUUAAAAAUCAUUAACGAGUUAGAAUGAAAUAAUGUGCUUCAAAACUGUAAUGUGAAAUGUUCUGGGGAAAAUUUGAGUAAUCUUGUGGGUUAAAUUCAUCCUACAAAUAAUUAAUCUAUUUGUUCUGAAAGUUUAUCUCUCAGAAAAAGGGCAGAGAAUUUGGCCAAAACAACAUAAUAAAGAUAAAAGGUUAACUAUGAAAAUUAUUAAAUUAUCCUGAAAAUAAAAUAAAAUGAGAAGGAAAAGGUCUUUAAACUAUUAGGUUUUGCAAAUAAGUGGACAUUUAAAGGGUUUUUCUGAUUGAAGGAAUUGGUUUAUAAUUAAAUUUGAACCUCUAAUUGAUGAUAAUUAUGGAGUUAAAUAGCAGUGUUUUGUGGAACGUUGAAGUAUUUGUUGCAUCUUAAUUGAAUAUAUAAACUAGAAUUUCACUCUGAGACACAAUAUUGAAUAUGCAGUUAUUGAAAUUGGUGAGAAGUUUUGACAAAAAGGAAAUUAUUAAUUGGGUUCUAAUAUAACUUUUGAGAAAUAUCUUUUAGAAUGCACAUGUUAAUUAAAAUCUUGGAGACUAAAUUUAUAAAAUAGUAAAACAUUUAAGGCUACACAUUUGAAAAAUUCUUGUAGCUUUCGUAAUUCUUGAUUGAAUAAAUUUGAACAAAGAAGAAUACGAUGUGAAAAGACUGACGGUUUUGUGACUGACCAUGACUAGACUAAAUGUUUCAUGUUCUGUUUGUUGUGUUAUCAUCUGUCUGUGAAUAUAUGGUAUGAAUAUGUGUGAUUAGAACAGAAUAUAAAUUUUGAAAUAAAACUGGCAAACUAAUUAUAUAUUGUCCCCAAUUACAAGGCAAGGGAGACUAAAUUAAAUUAUCACAGAAAUUGGCUGAACUAUGUGCACAUAAGAAUUAAAUUGAGUAGAUGUUUUGCCUAUUACUUCGAUGCCUGUCUGUCUAGUAACCAUUCGACAGGGUUUUUCUCCAUUUGAGCUUCGAAACCGACGGAAGUUACGUGGACCGCCGGCCCGUACCAGGAUGAAAAGGUGAAUCUGCACAUUUGUCGCAUAACGACUGCUUUAAUGAGUUACAGGUCCUGGGAGUGGAAUUUGCAUAAUAUCAGACGUGACAGGAACGUCCAGGCUCGAGACCAGUUCCUGGACUCGACUGGGUGCCCCUGGAGCUCAUCAAACGGAAGCGGUCUGAACCUCGCUUCACCGGACCACACUGAGUAGUGGAGAAGACAUCCCAUGCUGUUCGUCUACAAGGGAAAGGAGACGCCUGGUUCCAUUGGAGUCAGUGCACGGCAGCCGAGGAGCCACAACGCGCGCUCUGAGUGACACAGGAGGUCCUGCAGCAUCAAGCUUCAAUUGAGGAGCACAGCCGGGCACGGCCAGAAGCAGACGUGGAUCUACUGUCCCGAGAAGAAGUGUAGCAGGAAUCUCACUGAAAUGAGGCAUAAUAAUCCGAUUUUCAGUAGAGCAACGGACGCUCAGUUAGUCACCUGAGCUGUAGAACUAAGGAGGGAAACAGGUUCACGACGGAUAAGGAUGCAAGAGCAUCAUCAUCAGCUUCACAUAUUUUUUCUUGUGUUUUCUCGUUUAUUGCGAACUUUCGUUUUUUGCGCAUGUUUUUGGUCAUUUCUUGACAAAGAAUUCAUAUUUUUUCAAGGACUAUUGAAGGAUAUUUUAUUGUGAAAAAAAAACCAACAAGAAAUAGUGUUUUGUAAUUUUAUGUGUUUAUGGUUUUUGCAUUUUAUGUUUUGAGCUGUUGUUUGUACUGUGUUUUCGUUCUAUGGUGAUUAUGGAGUUUUAUGAUUUGUCAUCUUUUUAAACCCAUAGGUUGUUUUACUCUUAGAUUUGAUUGGUUGAAAUUUUGUGGUUCAACGGGUAAGUAUUGAAAAUUGUGGGUUGGCACAGGUUUCCAUUUGACAGGUUCGGAUGAUGGAGUUCGGCUUCAGACACAUGGAUGGGCGGUGUAAGUCUUAUUACAGUUUCAGUGAGAAGAGACGCAGUGGCCCACCUCCUUCAUCCCCUUUAUCAGAUGUUUUUUGUGGUCUUGCUGAUGAGAGAGUUGUGGAGCUGGGAGGCUCUAUUUAAAAAGGGGGACUGUUAUAUAAUUUGGCUACUGAUAUAUAAUUGAGUGUACUAUAUAAGUUCGACUACUACAUAGUUUUUGGUUCCUCUAUUUGAAGCCUUGAUGAAUUUAUUUGUUGAGAUCUU